RNAcentral lists this unclassified non-coding RNA (340 nucleotides) under soil metagenome. RNAcentral describes it as "partial contains 5.8S ribosomal RNA, internal transcribed spacer 2, and large subunit ribosomal RNA". The stretch from base 1 to 120 matches the Rfam family "5.8S ribosomal RNA", at positions 35 to 154 of the family's 154-position model. The record is from RNAcentral.
GAUGAAGAACGUAGCGAAAUGCGAUAAGUAAUGUGAAUUGCAGAAUUCAGUGAAUCAUCGAAUCUUUGAACGCACAUUGCGCCCGCCAGUAUUCUGGCGGGCAUGCCUGUCUGAGCGUCAUUUCAACCCUCAAGCAACUUCUGCUUGGUGUUGGGGAUCGGCCGUCAAACGCCGCCCCCGAAAUCUAUUGGCGAUCUCGCUGUAGCUUCCUAUGCGUAGUAGUAACAUCUCGCAUCUGGAGAGCGGCGCGGUCAUGCCGUAAAACCCCCCAACUUUUUAUAGUUGACCUCGAAUCAGGUAGGACUACCCGCUGAACUUAAGCAUAUCAAUAAGCGGAGGA